Molecule: long non-coding RNA, 716 nt
Filed under: Malus domestica (apple)
Lineage: Eukaryota; Viridiplantae; Streptophyta; Magnoliopsida; Rosales; Rosaceae
Description: long non-coding RNA (MDOM_LNC010294)
Source: RNAcentral
AAACUUUUCAAACCAAUUCCAACUACCAAAGGCAGUAGCCCUUCACCGUAAUACCUGUAUAAUUUCCCGGAAAGUAACAGGCGUGACUAUAAAUCAAUACCAUAACCAAAAUAAUUGUCUCACAGUAAUAUCGUGUCAAAUAUCUCAAUAAAAAUAAGUACUCAGGUGAAAUAAAUCAAUAUGAAAUGGCAUAUUAGCCGGAUCCACCUAUAGUGGCCUGUACGGUUGAAUUAAUAGCUCAUCAACAUGCUAGUCAGAGUCACCUCACGUGACCUAUACAACUUAUCCAUAUCUCAUCAAUCAAGGCUAGCUCAUAAGUCGGAGUCACCACUAGUGACCUGUACAACUUAUCCAUAUCUCAUCACAUAUGCUAGCUCAUCACAUAUCUCAUCAUAUAUGCUAGCUCAUCACAUAUCUCAUCAUAUAUGCUAGCUCAUCACAUAUCUCAUCAUAUAUGCUAGCUCAUCACAUAUGUCAUCAUAUAUGCUAGCUCAUCACAUAUUUCAUCAUAUAUGCUAGCUCAUAAGUUGGAGUCACCUCUAGUGAUCUGUACGACUUAUCCAUAGCUCAAUAAUUAUACCUGCACACGAGUCAAAACCACCUAAAGUGGUCUGUACAACAGGGCUGGGUGUAAAUAAAUACACUCAAAUGCUACGAUCAUGUGAAGACUGUGCGAAUAAUCGCGGGUCACCUACGAGUAGGAACCACCUAUAGUG